This is a long non-coding RNA of Chinchilla lanigera (long-tailed chinchilla), 368 nucleotides long. RefSeq lists it as uncharacterized. Lineage: Eukaryota; Metazoa; Chordata; Mammalia; Rodentia; Chinchillidae. The record is from RefSeq and is a predicted model, not a curated record. The transcript is spliced from 3 exons.
UUAUUUUUGCUAUGUUCUACAGACAUGAACAUUUGCCCACUGCCGUGUGCUACUCUGCCUUGGAAACAACCCGGUAUGGACUGAAACCUCCACAAACUGAUCCACUUCUUCACUAUGUUUACACAAUCAGAGGGAGCAGGCAAGCAGAACCCUUGUGUUUAUGCCCGUCUGUACAUUGAUGUGAGAACAUCGGUACUACACCAAGGAUUCUUCUUGGAAUGGGGAAUACAUUUAUUAGAAGACAGAAAGGAAAAAGGAAGUACAGAUAAAAUAAGAGAAGAAAGCAGUGGAGGCAAAUAGCAAAAAGUGGAAAAAAAUAUUUUCCAUCCCUUCACAAAGAGAAGAAACACUGUGAGAGUAUGCAGGUG